GACGAACGCUGGCGGCGUGCUUAACACAUGCAAGUCGAACGGAAAGGCCCUGCUUUUGUGGGGUGCUCGAGUGGCGAACGGGUGAGUAACACGUGAGUAACCUGCCCUUGACUUUGGGAUAACUUCAGGAAACUGGGGCUAAUACCGGAUAGGAGCUCCUGCUGCAUGGUGGGGGUUGGAAAGUUUCGGCGGUUGGGGAUGGACUCGCGGCUUAUCAGCUUGUUGGUGGGGUAGUGGCUUACCAAGGCUUUGACGGGUAGCCGGCCUGAGAGGGUGACCGGCCACAUUGGGCCUGAGAUACGGCCCAGACUCCUACGGGAGGCAGCGGUGGGGAGUAUUGCACAAUGGGCGGAAGCCUGAUGCAGCAACGCCGCGUGCGGGAUGACGGCCUUCGGGUUGUAAUCCGCUUUCGCCUGUGACGAAGCGUGAGUGACGGUAAUGGGUAAAGAAGCACCGGCUAACUACGUG
RNAcentral lists this ribosomal RNA (468 nucleotides) under uncultured bacterium. RNAcentral's name for it is "partial 16S ribosomal RNA". It matches the Rfam family "Bacterial small subunit ribosomal RNA", at positions 28 to 507 of the family's 1533-position model. The record is from RNAcentral.